Molecule: long non-coding RNA, 2235 nt
Filed under: Daphnia pulicaria
Lineage: Eukaryota; Metazoa; Arthropoda; Branchiopoda; Diplostraca; Daphniidae
Description: uncharacterized LOC124313622, transcript variant X1
Source: RNAcentral
ACAAAACAAAAUUGUUAAUAGCUCUCAGUUAGAAACCUUCCCGGGCUUUUUGUGUCUUGUGUGUUAAGUUGAGUUAUUUUGAAGGUAAAAUGGACACUCAAGGAAAUAUAGAAAUAAUUUGGCUUUAUAUUGGAAAAGGAGCUUACAACAGAGUGACGUGACAACACAGUUGUGUCAACGAUGUAUGGAGUGUUCCUUCUGUUGAUAUCAACCUUAUGAAAAAUGUAUACAUAGUCAUGCAUAUAAUGUAAAUUAGUUUACAAAAUUAGUACUUGUAGACAAACUUCUGAAAACCCAAGAGCUCUGAUUUUACUUCACAAUAAGAUGUUGGUGUUCAUCCCACCACAGCAAUUUGUUUUGGUGGACGCGUUGGCUCACCCUUACUUGGAGCAGGGACUAUGACCUACAGAAGCAAAAGAACCAUUCAAAUUAGAAAUGGAAUUGGAUAAUUGGCCAAAGGAAAAAUUAAAGGAGUUGAUUUAUGAAGAAACGAUCAUGUUCGAAGAGCGCGUGGAGCGUUAACAACCAUUGGGCGUUUGAAAUUUCCCUAGGUUUAUUACGUGUUUCCUGUGCCAUUAAGGUACUCGAGCUAAGAACUGGAUAGAAAUGGAGGCGAAGUCGGCCAAGGCCGCGAGAGUGUGCUAAAGUUUUACCUAGCGGUAACGCUUUAAUUUUGAGUUUUUGACACGCAGGUUCAGCAACCGGCUGGGAAUUGGUACCUAGAUUGCGUGAUGAUACUUGUUUUAACUAGGAUGAUCAAGAAGUGAUUUUUAUGAUCACUUAAAUUAACCUUAAGAAAUUGAAAAUCGCUGUAAACUUUUUUAAGGUUCUCAGGAUACUGUUGAAGAAUGAAAAAGGUAUACUAGUUCACAUUUUCUAUAUAAAGCAAAUUAGAUUUCCUGCAACUCUUUCUUGUGUAUUGCAAAAAGUAUUUCACAUAUCUCUAAAUCCGGUGGAUGAGCAAUUUAAGCCUUUGAUUGUGUGCAGAGUUUUCAAUUAAUAGGAAGCAGAUGAGUACUCGAAACUAAACCAUCAAAAUUACCAACUUAAACUUAAUUAAAUCAAACUUACCAACAAACGGUGAAAUAACAAUCUUUUCAAAAAUAACCUUCAUUUAAUCGUUUCUUGUUUGUUGAUUGUCUCAUCCAGGAAUUUAAAGACUAAAUUGCAGUGUUUCUCCACUCAUUCCGCAGCCCUUUUGGCAUUGAGACACCAUCGAGUCGACGUCAGCGAAAUCAUCAGAAUUUUUUCGGCAAAACCUGGCAGCACGUAUACACCCCCACGCGAGCCGCCAGCAAUAAACGUUCUGGCAAUAUAGCAGCAGCAGCAACAACAAUGCCGUUUCGGGACCCGCCUUUAAUGCUGUUUCCGUGUACAGCCCGACCCAGGCCAAGUCCAGACUAUUCCCGAAAGACGUCCCAACACGUUCGUCAAGGUGUAGAAGACUUAAAGCGCAGCAGCUGAGGGCGUAGUGCGUCGCAGUCUCCAACAUCCAGGUGUCCACCGCCCACCUAUAAACACUCAGUUAUAUCGCUUAUUUUAGUUUUCAAAUCGAAAACGUAUUAUUUCCCUUCUUUUUUAUUUCCUUCAACAUUCCGAAACGUCAUCCAGUUAUACCCAGCAGCUCUUUUAUUAUGAGGCAAUUCUUCCAAACCCUUUUCUCUAUUUUUUUACGAAUCAUCAAUGCGACUUACCGCAAUUUCUUUUAAACGUAGGCGAUUUCGCCAUCCAAACUUUAUGUUUUCUUCCUUUUUAAAAUUUCUUUUUCUUCCUUUCGGCCGCUAAAAAAAAUAAACUCAGUGUUUAUUCUUUUUGUAGUAUAACCUUUUGGUAUAAGCUAUCUUAUCCGCGUGCGUGACUGACAAAAAGGUUUGUUUAUUUUUGCCAAGAAAAGAAUCUCUUUUUUUUUUCUUAUUCUAGACAAUGCUGAGCUGCUGGUGGUUCCAAUCAGUCUGCGCUUUCACGAAUGUAUCACGACACGAUGAUGAACUCAGCGAACCAAACUUGUUCAAGAGGAUCGAUAAACAUGAGGAGGAGGCAAGAACACGGCGGGGAUGAGGGGACCGCCUGCUGUUCACUGGCUAUAGUGACGUCACCAUGUCAGUGCAGCACCACUGGUUUUUCUCUGCAUACAUGUUGAGGCUGAUUAAACAAUACGCCACAGACGGCGUCUACCUGACUGGCACACGACGUUAUGUACCAUCCAGGAAAGGCCUAACAAGCAAAAAUGACAAG